RNAcentral lists this transfer RNA (76 nucleotides) under Actinomadura geliboluensis. RNAcentral describes it as "tRNA-Leu". It matches the Rfam family "tRNA". From Rfam's summary of the family: Transfer RNA (tRNA) molecules are approximately 80 nucleotides in length. Lineage: Bacteria; Bacillati; Actinomycetota; Actinomycetes; Streptosporangiales; Thermomonosporaceae. The record is from RNAcentral.
GCCCCGAUAGCCCAAUGGCAGAGGCAAUGUGCUCAAACCACAUCAAGUGUGGGUUCGAAUCCCACUCGGGGCACCG